RNAcentral lists this ribosomal RNA (393 nucleotides) under uncultured bacterium. RNAcentral describes it as "partial 16S ribosomal RNA". It matches the Rfam family "Bacterial small subunit ribosomal RNA", at positions 523 to 918 of the family's 1533-position model. The record is from RNAcentral.
AUACGGAGGAUGCGAGCGUUAUCCGGAUUUAUUGGGUUUAAAGGGAGGGUAGGUGGGAUAUUAAGUCAGCUGUGAAAGUUUGGGGCUCAACCUUAAAAUUGCAGUUGAUACUGGUUUCCUUGAGUACGGUACAGGUGGGCGGAAUUCGUGGUGUAGCGGUGAAAUGCUUAGAUAUCACGAAGAACUCCGAUCGCGAAGGCAGCUCACCGGGCCGGAACUGACACUGAUGCUCGAAAGUGCGGGUAUCAAACAGGAUUAGAUACCCUGGUAGUCCGCACAGUAAACGAUGAAUACUCGCUGUUUGCGAUACACUGUAAGCGGCCAAGCGAAAGCGUUAAGUAUUCCACCUGGGGAGUACGCCGGCAACGGUGAAACUCAAAGGAAUUGGCGGGG